CAUGCAAGUCGAGCGGAUCUUGUCCUUCGGGAUAAGAUUAGCGGCGGACGGGUGAGUAACACGUAGGUAACCUGCCCGUAAGACUGGGAUAACAUUCGGAAACGAAUGCUAAUACCGGAUACACAGCUUGGUCGCAUGACCUUGCUGGGAAAGAUGGAGCAAUCUAUCACUUACGGAUGGACCUGCGGCGCAUUAGCUAGUUGGUGAGGUAACGGCUCACCAAGGCGACGAUGCGUAGCCGACCUGAGAGGGUGAUCGGCCACACUGGGACUGAGACACGGCCCAGACUCCUACGGGAGGCAGCAGUAGGGAAUCUUCCGCAAUGGACGAAAGUCUGACGGAGCAACGCCGCGUGAGUGAUGAAGGUUUUCGGAUCGUAAAGCUCUGUUGCCAGGGAAGAACGCUUGGGAGAGUAACUGCUCCCAAGGUGACGGUACCUGAGAAGAAAGCCCCGGCUAACUCUGUGCCAGCAGCCGCGGUAAUACAGAGGGUGCAAGCGUUAAUCGGAAUUACUGGGCGUAAAGCGUGCGUAGACGGUUAUGUAAGUCAGAUGUGAAAGCCCCGGGCUCAACCUGGGAAUUGCAUUUGAGACUGCAUAGCUAGGGUGCGGAAGAGGGAAGCGGAAUUUCCGGUGUAGCGGUGAAAUGCGUAGAUAUCGGAAGGAACACCAGUGGCGAAAGCGGCUUCCUGGUCCAGCACCGACGUUC
Molecule: ribosomal RNA, 707 nt
Filed under: uncultured bacterium
Lineage: Bacteria
Description: bacterial SSU rRNA
Rfam family: Bacterial small subunit ribosomal RNA
Source: RNAcentral